AUGUUACGACUCGUUACCCCUCCGGCUGGUGAUGGCUAUUGGUGGAUCACCGGGGUCUAUGGACCACAGGACGACGAGGCCAAGCUCGAGUUCCAGGCCGAGCUGCAUGAUGUGCGUGAAUCCCGCAUUGGCCCGUGGCUCCUUGGUGGUGACUUCAACAUGAUUGUCUCGGCGGCCGAGAAGAGCAAUGUAAAUCUGAACCACCACGUCAUGGGUAGAUUUCGACGUUUCAUCGCCGAUGAGGAGCUCCCCGACCUAUACAUGCACGGCCACCGUUAUACUUGGUCUAACGAGCGCGACAACCCGACCCUAGUCCGCAACGACCGCAUCCUCUGCACCUCAGGAUGGGAGAGUGCUCACCCACACUGCCUCCUUCAGUGCCUCUCUUCGGCAGCCUCGGACCAGUGCCUGCUCCUGGUUGACUGUGCGGUGCGGCCACCCGGGGCUAGACGCUUCACUUUGAGAGAUUCUGGCCGAGGCUUUAGGGCUUCCAUGAUGUGGUUUCGAAGGCCUGGACUUCCACUACGCCUGACGCCGACCCUUUCAGAAGGAUCGUGA
Molecule: ribosomal RNA, 558 nt
Filed under: Triticum aestivum (bread wheat)
Lineage: Eukaryota; Viridiplantae; Streptophyta; Magnoliopsida; Poales; Poaceae
Description: partial small subunit ribosomal RNA
Source: RNAcentral